This 206-nucleotide long non-coding RNA is filed under the name Bos taurus (domestic cattle). Its description in RNAcentral is "long non-coding RNA NONBTAT012090". The record is from RNAcentral. Lineage: Eukaryota; Metazoa; Chordata; Mammalia; Artiodactyla; Bovidae.
CUGUAGUAUACUAAAUGACCUCUGGAUCAAGUUUUGGAUCCUUAACAUGGCUUACAAGGCUCUUCACGCUGUAAUCCUCUAAAUUAAUGUUUCUCAUGGGUGGAAGCCAGAGCAGUGUCUGCACUUGCACUCUGGGCCCGGGAUGCGCAGGGCCUUUCCUGAGCCCUGCUAAGUCUCUCUGCCAGUAUGGUUUUCAUUACCGAGGG